GCUCUCGUAGUUAAAUGGAUAUAACUUUCCCCUCCUAAGGGAAGAUUGUGGGUUCGAUUCCCGCCGGGAGUACCA
RNAcentral lists this transfer RNA (75 nucleotides) under Clostridia bacterium. RNAcentral describes it as "tRNA-Arg". It matches the Rfam family "tRNA". From Rfam's summary of the family: Transfer RNA (tRNA) molecules are approximately 80 nucleotides in length. Their secondary structure includes four short double-helical elements and three loops (D, anti-codon, and T loops). Further hydrogen bonds mediate the characteristic L-shaped molecular structure. tRNAs have two regions of fundamental functional importance: the anti-codon, which is responsible for specific mRNA codon recognition, and the 3' end, to which the tRNAs corresponding amino acid is attached (by aminoacyl-tRNA synthetases). tRNAs cope with the degeneracy of the genetic code in two manners: having more than one tRNA (with a specific anti-codon) for a particular amino acid; and 'wobble' base-pairing, i.e. permitting non-standard base-pairing at the 3rd anti-codon position. Lineage: Bacteria; Bacillati; Bacillota; Clostridia. The record is from RNAcentral.